Molecule: long non-coding RNA, 451 nt
Organism: Melitaea cinxia (Glanville fritillary)
Lineage: Eukaryota; Metazoa; Arthropoda; Insecta; Lepidoptera; Nymphalidae
Exons: 2
Source: RefSeq, a predicted model, not a curated record
GUGAGUUUUGUACAGCGUUUAUCGAUUUUCAUUUUAUAAUGAGCGUAACGUUUUGUUUACUUUUUAUUCGUGUAUAACGUUGUCUCUGAUGUUUUUAUAAUGUGCAGUAUUCGGCUCUAGUGUUGUGGUGGGAUUGAUUCAAUUAUGUGCGAGAGUUCGGGCGAGAUUGCGUGUUUUGGAUGACAAAAACAUGGAAUUCGAGAACGAUUUCAGCUUGAAAGAAUGGGCGAAGGACAAGCCUUUGUCCAUAUUGCAGCUGGACCCGGCAGACCGUGCCGUUUUGAGGAUAGCAGGUAAAACAUGGCGAUAAAAGAUAGUCAUCACUUCGUGUUGAAGCAGUAUGAGGGGAGAAUAGAAUAAAAGGCCCGAUUAUUUUCUUAUUUUAUGGUUUUAAAAGUUUAAUGAAUUCUCACAUACAAGAACUGUGCUAAAAUACAAAAUAAAUAAGUAA